GAAAAUGUACCGACACAAAACCAGAAGAAAGGUAAGCGAGAAAAAAAAGACGAAAAAAAAAAAAACGAAAUCGCUCCCA
RNAcentral lists this non-coding RNA (79 nucleotides) under uncultured Chlorophyceae. Lineage: Eukaryota; Viridiplantae; Chlorophyta; Chlorophyceae. The record is from RNAcentral.